UGGGGGAAUAUUGGUCAAUGGGCGGAAGCCUGAACCAGCCAAGUAGCGUGAGGGAUGACUGCCCUAUGGGUUGUAAACCUCUUUUAUAAGGGAAUAAAAUACGGGACGUGUCCUGUUUUGCAUGUACCUUAUGAAUAAGGACCGGCUAAUUCCGUGCCAGCAGCCGCGGUAAUACGGAAGGUCCAGGCGUUAUCCGGAUUUAUUGGGUUUAAAGGGAGCGCAGGCGGUCUUAUAAGCGUGACGUGAAAUGCAGCGGCUCAACCGUAUGAUGUGCGUCGCGAACUGUGAGACUUGAGUGUAUUCGAUGUCAGCGGAAUUUGUGGUGUAGCGGUGAAAUGCUUAGAUAUCACGAAGAACUCCGAUUGCGAAGGCAGCUGAC
RNAcentral lists this ribosomal RNA (379 nucleotides) under uncultured Prevotella sp. RNAcentral's name for it is "bacterial SSU rRNA". It matches the Rfam family "Bacterial small subunit ribosomal RNA", at positions 354 to 729 of the family's 1533-position model. Lineage: Bacteria; Pseudomonadati; Bacteroidota; Bacteroidia; Bacteroidales; Prevotellaceae. The record is from RNAcentral.